This 614-nucleotide ribosomal RNA is filed under the name uncultured eukaryote. Its description in RNAcentral is "SSU rRNA". It matches the Rfam family "Eukaryotic small subunit ribosomal RNA", at positions 620 to 1246 of the family's 1831-position model. The record is from RNAcentral.
UAAAAAGCUCGUAGUUGGAUUUUGGUUAAGAGGGCGCGGUCGGCCGUUUGGUCUGUACUGCGUUGUCUUGACUUCCUGAUGAGGACAUGCUCUUGGUUAACGCUGAGACAUGGAGUCAUCGUGGUUACUUUGAAAAAAUUAGAGUGUUCAAAGCGGGCUUACGCUUGAAUAUAUUAGCAUGGAAUAACACUAUAGGACUCCUGUCCUAUCUCGUUGGUCUCGGGAUGGGAGUAAUGAUUAAGAGGAACAGUUGGGGGCAUUCGUAUUUCAUUGUCAGAGGUGAAAUUCUUGGAUUUAUGAAAGACGAACUUCUGCGAAAGCAUUUGCCAAGGAUGUUUUCAUUAAUCAAGAACGAAAGUUGGGGGCUCGAAGAUGAUUAGAUACCAUCCUAGUCUCAACCAUAAACGAUGCCGACUAGGGAUUGGUGGAUGUUAAUUGAUGACUUCACCAGCACCUUAUGAGAAAUCAAAGUUUUUGGGUUCCGGGGGGAGUAUGGUCGCAAGGCUGAAACUUAAAGGAAUUGACGGAAGGGCACCACCAGGCGUGGAGCCUGCGGCUUAAUUUGACUCAACACGGGGAAACUUACCAGGUCCAGACAUAAGUAUGAUUGACAG